This is a long non-coding RNA of Erinaceus europaeus (western European hedgehog), 3483 nucleotides long. RefSeq lists it as uncharacterized. The transcript has 3 exons. NCBI's taxonomy places the organism in Eukaryota, Metazoa, Chordata, Mammalia, Eulipotyphla, Erinaceidae. The record is from RefSeq and is a predicted model, not a curated record.
CCCCACUGCCGAGACUCGCUACCUGCGUAAGCAGUCAUGAGGGGAGUGGGGGAAACUGCUCACAGCACAGAAAUGCCUCCCCUCCACCUGAAUGCCAUCCAGGAUGCACUCUCCUCCACCCAGAUGUGUGACAGGCUGUCCCUUGUGGUGGCUGGACAGGGACCUGGUCACCGCCUCAUAGGAGCUGGCACCCGGUCUUCAGGGUAUCCAGUGUCUGACUGAAGGUCUGAAUGGACUCAGCCCCAGAAAGUACCCCAAGUCAAUUGAGGAUCCCACAUGGAAAACACCCCACCGACACACAUACCUGGAUGUGUACAGUUUUGGAGCCAGUGGCUCAGGUGCACUGGGACCAGUGCUGACCACUCUCCCUUGUCUGGCUCAGUGCUAGGGCCAGGUAGUCUCGGAGUGCUGACAAAGCCAUGCAGGGCUGAGGACAGCCACAGGGAGUUGGGCUCGGCAUCAGUGUGCGCCUUUAAGGCAGUCAUUCCUGGACCCCAGUGAAGGCUUCCACUGCAUAGGCCGUGGGCAGGAAGGACAGCUGCAGCUUCAGCUGGCAGCUGUGAGGUUUGGAUUCACCAGGAUCAUAGAUGAUUCAUGGCUUGUGGGGACAGAACAGGAGAGGGGGCCGUGUGGAGAGAUGCCACUAUCUCUGAGCCUGUACCUUCUGGAAAGUUCUGCGGACAGAAACCCAGCCACAGUGUGUUUGACAUGCCAUCAUAUGGUAUUGCUCUUCAGGUGUGAAGGGGACAGCUGUCCACAGAAUGGCCAGAUCAACCUGCUGUGCAGAACGUGUCUUGUGCUUAUUCCUAUCCAAAAUACAUCAGUAACAGAAAUAUCUGAGCGUUCAUAGUCCAAGUAUUGAGAAUGAAAGGCAGAAAGAGAAAUUGAAAAAGAUACUUACUUUCAGAGAAUCAGAAACUACAAAAGGUUGAAGACAACAGAUGAUGUCUUUGAAGUGCUGAGAAAAUGUAGCCAAAUUUGAACCUCUGUUUAUAGAGAACAUCAUUAUCAGCCAAUGGGACUGACAGUUUUUUAAUUCUUUAUUGGGGGAUUAGUGGUUUACAGUUGAUAGUAAAAUACAGUAGUUUGGGAGUCAGGCAGUGGCACAGCAGGUUAAGCGCAGGUGAUGCAAAGUGCAAGGACCGGCAUAAGGAUUCCGGUUCAAGCCCCUGGGUCCCCACCUGCAAAGGAGUCGCUUCACAGGCGGUAAAGCAGGUCUGCAGGUGUCUAUCUUUCUCUCCCCCUCUGUCUUCUCUCUCCAUUUCUCUCUGUCCUAUCCAACAACAAUGACAUCAAUAACAACAAUAACUACAACAAUAAAACAACAAGGACAACAAAAGGGAAUAAAUAAAUAAAUAAAUAAAUAAAUAAAUAAAUACAAUAGUUUGAACAUGCAUAACAUUUCCACAUAACAAUACAACCCCCACUAGGUCCUCCUCUGCCAUCAUGUUCCAGGACCUGAGCGCCCCCACUCCUCCGUCUUUUACUUUGGUGCACCACACCAGUGAACUGACACUGUCACUUGACAAGAAGUACUAGAAAUAAGUUCUUCUUGGAUGGAGGUACAAUCAGAAGAGAGUAACUAUGAGGAACAGGAAAGAAUCUCAGUUGCUUAGUAGUGUUUAUAGUUACACAGAUUGCUCUGUAUCACGUGACAAGUAAGUGUGACUGCUGCUUGGCCUGACUUGCUCUGUAAAACCACAGUGAAUAAUGACGAAAGGGGGGAAGUAUAGCUCAGACCAAAUGAAGAUAAAAGAUGGAAUAAUACUUGAUUAAUUUUACAGAAGGCAAGAAAGGAAGGGUAAAGGACAAAUAAAUAGACUGGGGACCCACUCAUAUCAAUAAUUUAGUUAUUACAAAUGUACUAAACAUUUCAAUAAAAAUAAAAGAUUAUCCUACUUUUUUAGUGAUGUUGAUAGAAGAGAUAUUUUUUAUUUAAUUUUUUUUCCCUUUUGUUGCCCUUGUUUUUGUUACUGUUGUUACUGCUAUUGUUGUUGGAUAGGACAGACAGAACUGGAGAGAGGAGAGGAAGAUAGAGAGGAGAGAAAGACAGACACCUGCAGACCUGCUUCACCACCUGUGAAGUGACCCCCCUGCAGGUGGGGAGCUGGGGGCUCGAACCGGUAUCCUUACACUGGUCCCUGCACUUUGCGCCAUGUACGCUUAAUCCGCUGCACCACCACCCAGCUCCCGAUAGAAGACAUUUUACAGAUAAGAACUCAGAAUUUUUUAAAAAUAAAUUUUAUUUAUUUAUUUAUUUUUAAGAUAUUUUUAUUUUAAUAAGAGUGAGAAAGAGAGAUACAGGAAAAAGACUAGAGCACUGGCUGGGGGUUGAACCUGGGACCUCAGAGCCUCAGGCACUAAAGUCUUUUGCAUAACCAUUAUGCUAUGUCCCCAGCCCGAACUCAGAAAAAAUUUAAGCAAAAAAUAUUUUUAAAUAAAGCAAUGAAACCUCAACCUAGAGGAAGUAAUAUUCUUGGCCUGCUCCUGGAGGCCAUUUUUCAUUUUUAUUUGAUUGGACAGAGAGAAAUUGAGAGAGGAGGAGGGGGAGAUUGAGAGGGAGGGAGACAGAGAGAUACCUGCAGACCUGCUUCACAAAAUGUGAAGCAAUCCUCCUGCAGGUGGGGAGCUGGGGGCUAGAAUCCAGGUCCUUGCACACUGUAAUGUGUGCACUCAACCAGGUGCACCAUCACCUGGCCCUGCUCAGUUUUAAAAUCUGUUAAGUAAAACAUGAUGUCAUGGGGCCAGGCAGGGUUGUGCCUGGUUAAGUGCAUAUAUUACAGCACAUAAGGGCACAGGUUCAAGCUCCUGGUCCCCACCUACAGGGGAAAAGUUUCACGAGUGGUGAACCAGGGCUGUAGGUGUCUGUCUCUUUCCUUCUCUACCUUCUCCUCCUCUUCUCUCAAUUUCUGUCUCUAACCAUAAAUAAAUAAAUAAAUAAAAUAGAUAAAAACAACAAGGGCAACAAAAGGGGAAAAAUAAUAGAUACAUUUAAAAAAUUUUAAAGAUGAUGUCACCAGUUCACAACUAUAAUUUGGAUUCUUUGCACAUUUCCUGAGUAAUAGUAGAACCACAGGUGGAAUGUCAGUAAGGAUAGAAAAUUUUUUAGUCAUUUAUUUAUUAUGAGAGUGAGAAUUAGAGAGGAAAGAGCAGGAGAAAGACCAGUAUGCUCAGCUCUAGCAGAAGGAGAUGUCAGGGAUUGAACCUGCAUUCCCUGGGCCAUCAGGCUUGCAAGUUGGUGCUCUAACAGACUGAACUAUUUCCUCUGCCUAAAGAUUGAGAAUAUUUGAAUACAUUCUUCAGAUGUUAAGUUGUCCCUGAAUCUCUAGUCUACCCACCAAUCAUUGCUCUUCUCUGUCUGCAUUCAGUUUGCUGUUUGCUUAGAAGUUUUGCAUGUGUUCAACAUGUGUUGGUCUCUAACAAUGCAACGAAUGAAUUUGAGCAUCAACAGUAAAUGAGUGCAGAUUAUUCUAUAAUAAUACA